GUCGUUCGAUUGAUUUUAAUUGAUUAAAUAGUGUCACUAACUUAUUUUGGUUGGAAUUUAUUGAUUUUGUAGAUAACAUAAUGAAGUCUGAGGUAGCGCUCUGAACCAAUUGGUAAAGUUGUGGAUUCCUUGUUUGCAUCGCAACUGGAGCUUUUCUGGUGAACCAGUUUGAAGAUUCUCAACCGCGUGUGACAAUUAGGUCAUCCACUUUCAGACCCUGAUGAACAUGAUUCUGACCCAAACACUAAGAAGACAAAGAAGAAGAAACCUUCAGAUAUGAAGAGCGGGGAACUGAAGUCUCGGAGAUCCAGCAAGAGACUCAAGACUGCAACCUAAUUAUUAAGAGAAAUAGUCGUGGACUGUAGGAUUUGGAUGUUUAAACUUUUAAGUCUCCCUCUAAAAUUUUGUUAUCUUGAGGUUACUGCACAAUUAUUAGAUAUCGAGACGUUUAUUAUAUUGUGAAUAAAGAUUAUUUUGGUUCAAUUCUAAUUGUAGUCUUGAUUAAUUUUUU
Long non-coding RNA from Papaver somniferum (opium poppy), 511 nucleotides. RefSeq lists it as uncharacterized. The transcript is spliced from 3 exons. Lineage: Eukaryota; Viridiplantae; Streptophyta; Magnoliopsida; Ranunculales; Papaveraceae. The record is from RefSeq and is a predicted model, not a curated record.